GACGAACGCUGGCGGCGUGCUUAACACAUGCAAGUCGAACGAAGCUUGAUUACGGAUUCUUCGGAUGAAGUAUGAUAUGACUGAGUGGCGGACGGGUGAGUAACGCGUGAGUAACCUGCCCUUCAGAGGGGGAUAGCGUUUGGAAACGAACGGUAAUACCGCAUAAUGUAUUUUGACAGCAUGAUCGAAAUACCAAAGAUCUAUCGCUGAAGGAUGGACUCGCGUCUGAUUAGGUAGUUGGUGGGGUAAAGGCCUACCAAGCCGACGAUCAGUAGCCGGACAGGGAGGUCGCUCGGCCACAUUGGGACUGAGGCACGGCCCAGGCUCCUACGGGAGGCGGCGGUGGGGAAUAUUGCACAAUGGGCGCAAGCCUGAUGCAGCAACGCCGCGUGAAGGAAGACUGUUUUCGGAUUGUAAACUUCUGUUCUUAGGGAAGAAUAAUGACGGUAGCUAAGGAGCAAGCCACGGCUAACUACGUG
RNAcentral lists this ribosomal RNA (479 nucleotides) under uncultured bacterium. RNAcentral describes it as "partial 16S ribosomal RNA". It matches the Rfam family "Bacterial small subunit ribosomal RNA", at positions 28 to 507 of the family's 1533-position model. The record is from RNAcentral.